RNAcentral lists this small nuclear RNA (149 nucleotides) under Gossypium hirsutum (cotton). RNAcentral describes it as "U4 spliceosomal RNA". It matches the Rfam family "U4 spliceosomal RNA". Rfam says of the family: U4 small nuclear RNA (U4 snRNA) is a component of the major U2-dependent spliceosome. The structure of U4 snRNA from yeast and human has been reported. U4 snRNA presents a k-turn RNA motif in the 5p-SL related to recognition of Snu13 protein. The record is from Rfam by way of RNAcentral. Lineage: Eukaryota; Viridiplantae; Streptophyta; Magnoliopsida; Malvales; Malvaceae.
AUCUUUGCGCUUGGGGCAAUGACGCAGCUAGUGAGGUUCUAACCGAGGCGCGUCUAUUGCUGGUUGAAAACUAUUUCCAAACCCCCUCUUAGGCCUGGGUUCAGCCUAGGCCUUAGAGAAUUUUGGAAGGGUUCCCUUCGGGGUAAAUC